RNAcentral lists this ribosomal RNA (460 nucleotides) under uncultured bacterium. RNAcentral describes it as "partial 16S ribosomal RNA". It matches the Rfam family "Bacterial small subunit ribosomal RNA", at positions 338 to 795 of the family's 1533-position model. The record is from RNAcentral.
CCUACGGGUGUCAGCAGUGAGGAAUAUUGGUCAAUGGGCGGGAGCCUGAACCAGCCAAGCCGCGUGAAGGAAGAAGGCGCCAGGCGUCGUAAACUUCUUUUGUCGGGGAACAAAGGGCGCCACGCGUGGCGUUGUGAGUGUACCCGAAGAAAAAGCAUCGGCUAACUCCGUGCCAGCAGCCGCGGUAAUACGGAGGAUGCGAGCGUUAUCCGGAUUUAUUGGGUGUAAAGGGCGUGUAGGCGGGAGCGCAAGUCAGAUGUGAAAACUCAGGGCUCAACCCUGAGCCUGCAUUUGAAACUGUGUUUCUUGAGUGCUGGAGAGGCAAUCGGAAUUCCGUGUGUAGCGGUGAAAUGCGUAGAUAUACGGAGGAACACCAGUGGCGAAGGCGGAUUGCUGGACAGUAACUGACGCUGAGGCGCGAAAGCGUGGGGAGCAAACAGGAUUAGAUACCCGAGUAGUC